UAAGUUAGUUCCUGUUACACAACCUCGUGAUUACAUAUUUCUACACAUUUCAAAAUGAUCACCACAAGUCGUCUAAUUACCAUAGAUGUGUAAGAAGCAUCCACUAUCUUUUCCAGAGUGGUUGUAUAUUUCACAUUCCCACCUUGCAGGAGUGUUCUAUGCCUGAGCCACAUCAUCACCAACUAGCGGUAGUCAGUUGUUAUGUCAUUCUAAUUGGUGUGUAUGUUAUCUCACUGUGGGUUUAAUUUGCACUUCUCUGAUAACAAAUGAUAUUGAGCCUCUUUUGACACGGUUGUUAUCUAGUUGUAUAUCUUCUUUUGUGAAGUGUCUAUUGAAAUAUUUUGCCUAUAUUUUAUUAAGUUGAUCUUCUUCCUAUGAUUUCUCACAGAGGCUGGAUACAAGGCCUUUGUCAGAUAUGAGCCCAUUUCUAUUUCUUGAUGAUGUCUUUCAAAAAGUAGAAACUUUUCAUUUUGAUGGAGUGUAUUCAUUUUUCUCUUUUAUGCAUCAUGCGCUUUUUUUGUGAUGAAACUGCCCCAAAUUUACAGACAGUCUCUCCUGUUUUCUUCUGGAAAUUUUAUAAUUUGAAUUAUUUAAGUUCAUGAUUUGAACAUUUAAGUUCAUGACCCACUUUGAGUUUAUUGUUGGGUGCAAAGUUGGGAUCAAUACUUACAUUUUCCCAAAUAGAGAUCUUGCUCUUCUGCCACCAUUUGUUGAAAAGAUUAGCCUCUCUUUAUUGAAAGCAACUUCACUGAAAAUUAAUUGAAUAUACAAAUAGGGAUAUAUUUCUGUCUCUCUAUUCUGUUCUCCCGAUCUGUAUGUCUAUCUUUUUACCUGAAUCACACUGUCUUAAUUAAUAUAGCCUUAUAGUAAGUCAUGAAAUUAGGUAAUGUAAAUCCUUGGUUUACACCUAUGAUCUUUUUGAAAUUGUGUCAUUUAUUCUAGGAUCUUUAUUUUGCAUAAACAUUUUUUUGCUUUUUUUUUUUUUUUUUUGGCCAAUGGACAUUCAGUAUUCAUUCUAGUUUCCUGAAGUUGUCUUUUAUUUAUUUAUUUAUUUAUUUGGCCACACUUGUGGCAUGCAGGAGUUCCUGUGCCAGGAAUCGAACCCAUGCCACAGAAGUGACCCAAGCCACAGCAGUGACCAUUCCAAAUCCUUAACUUGCUGAGCCAUGAGGGAACGCCUCCAUAAAAAUUUUAGAAUAAGAAUAUUAAUUUUCCAAAAGCUUUCUGGAAUGUUGAUUGGGGUUGUGUUCCUAGGUGAGCAGUAAAUAGCCAGCACCCUUGGAUUUUCUUGAUUUAUGGCACCAGAAAAACUCAGGCUUUGGCCCAGCAGCAAGCUGAGAGCCACUACAGGGCAAAAUCAAGGGAGAGUGCUGUGCCUGACCAUAUCAUCCUCAAACCUAACAACACCGGAGGUAACUCUGGCAGAUAAGGCCAACCCUCUGGCAAGCCUCAAGGACAGAGUCAUUGCACAGACUCCCCAGCAUCCUGGAGCAAGGCUAUGUUUUCUCCAAGAGGGAAUGACUCACCAUUUGAAAGAGGCUCCUGGUCUGCUACUGGUUUUAGUAACAACUGAGCACCUGAACUUGCAACAUCAGGUUCCCCAAAAAAACCAACAAAGGAGAAACUGCCUAAUCCUCAUUUACAAAUGGGUUGCCUGAAUAUGAUGGGUGUCCUGAAAAUAAACUGCCACUCCCUGCAUCACCACAAGGUGGAACUUCAGUGGGCAGAGCUGUGAGCAGAACAGCUGAUCGUCUACUUCAUAGGGAGGAAAAGGCAGAACCUCGCAAUCUCAUCUGUGAAAUUAAAAAUGUAAUCAUAAUGGAUUCGCCUGGUGCUGAUGGUUUUAGACCAGAGGUUUCUGAUAGUUUUGAUCCAGGUGUUGGAUUGGCUAUGGAAUAAAAUGCUUGAUUCUCCCAGCCCCCUCUAACCAGGGGGCUGACAUCUUGGAAUAAAAGGUUUGGAGUACAGAAGUCCACUUUGUGAAGCAUCCUUGCGGUCCGUAGAGAAAAUGAACAUACUUCCUGAUUUGCUUCUAUUGUCCUGGCAUCCCUCUGGUUUAAUGAGCUCUUAUCGAGGCAGCCCAUACCCGGAGCAGUGAGAGUGGCACCACCAGACUGUUCCCCUGGACCACACGUGGCAUCUCAGCAUCUGUCCGCCAUAGUUGUGAACACCUGUGCUUUACCUGGAUUCAUUCUGUGCAUUGCUUAGCCAGAUGGGUCCCGAGGUAACUGCUCCUUCGCUUUACACUGUUUCAGCUUAACGGAAGGUUUCAUGAGAACACUCUACUUCCAUAAAGCAGGGGAAGCUGUAUUUACUUUAAUGCUGUUAACAAUUUUUAAAGAUUUUGCAGUGAACCCUCUCAGCAGCAAGAGCUCAAGAAGCAAAGCUAAGCAAAACAAAAACACAUGUUUGGUGAAAAUUAAGUACGGAAUUUUUAUUUGUCAGUAGAUUUGAUGAUAAGUGUACAACAUACAUCAAAUGUUUCCCAGCGUUCCACCUCCCACCAUGGGACCUGUAGUAAGGAAAACUAGAUGACAUAAAUAUGCUAUAAAGACCUCAGAAUUUGCUUGAAAUCUUAGUCAUUAUUUUAAAGUUUCUUGGACAAGAAGCAAUAGCCGUUAAUGUGUUUGGUUUAAUUAAUAGAACUCUGCAGAUAGCUAAAUGACUCAUUUUUUAUGUCACCAAUUGCUUCAAAUUUAAAAAAUGAAUUCUAAUAAUUCAAUUUUUCAUGAAAUUUAUGGAAUUAAAGUAAAAACCUCAC
RNAcentral lists this long non-coding RNA (2761 nucleotides) under Sus scrofa (pig). Its description in RNAcentral is "lncRNA (ENSSSCG00000056949.1)". The record is from RNAcentral. Lineage: Eukaryota; Metazoa; Chordata; Mammalia; Artiodactyla; Suidae.